UAAUGGAACAUCGAUAACGCUAUUUACGAAGAUCCUGGUAUUCCUACUGGUAGUAGGUAAUCGAAGUUUUACUAUUGACCAUGAAUUGAAUACGAAACCCAUGAAUCCCUCUGAAUUGAGAUGUGUUAAUUGUGGCAUCAAUGUAAAUCAAAGGAGUAGGCAUAGUAGCCUUGAAUUAAUAGAGAUUAUGUUAGUAAUAUAACACUGGAUUGCACCUCAAGUGGUGACUGAGACCACCAGUGUGCCUUUUUUGCUGGACUCCUAGUCACUCCAAUGGGACUAAUGAUGAUUAACCUACUAAUGAUGGUCACCGUUGUCGUCUUUGUAUUAGCUGUGGAUGCUCUUUGAUGAGAACAAGAUCUCACAGGCUACGUACUGACCUAAAACGGGAAAUAUGCAUAUAAAUCAUAAUAAUAGAGAUGAUUAUGCCAUAACAGCUGCAUGGAUCUGAUGAAAUCUGCCACCCCUGUUGACAAAGAAGUGAUCGAUUGAGAGCACAUGCUCUUGAAUCACUUCAACAGUUACUUACCAGUUAUUGUUUUACCGAACUGGAAAAGAAGAUCAGAUACCCAAGGCCAUUAUUUUUUUCUAGACUAACUCACUGGAAAGAUUAUUAUUAGAUAAGAUAAGCCUUUAUGAACUGAAUUAAAUUACAUUAAUGCUAUGUACAUAAUAUUAUAUUUCAAACAAAUAAAUAAUAUUUUAGUUUUUGA
Maniola jurtina (meadow brown) is the source of this 713-nucleotide long non-coding RNA. RefSeq lists it as uncharacterized. The record is from RefSeq and is a predicted model, not a curated record. The transcript is spliced from 3 exons. Lineage: Eukaryota; Metazoa; Arthropoda; Insecta; Lepidoptera; Nymphalidae.